CUCUGUGACUCCUACGGGAGGCAGCAGUGGGGAAUAUUGCACAAUGGGCGCAAGCCUGAUGCAGCAACGCCGUGUGAGUGAAGAAGGUUUUCGGAUCGUAAAACUCUGUCCUAAGGGAAGAAAAAAUGACGGUACCUUAGGAGGAAGCCCCGGCUAACUACGUGCCAGCAGCCGCGGUAAUACGUAGGGGGCAAGCGUUAUCCGGAAUCACUGGGCGUAAAGGGUGCGUAGGCGGCUUGACAAGCCAGGGGUGAAAGGCAUUGGCUCAACCAAUGUAAGCCUUUGGAACUGUUAAGCUUGAGUGCAGGAGAGGUAAGUGGAAUUCCUAGUGUAGAGGUGAAAUUCGUAGAUAUUAGGAGGAACACCAGUGGCGAAGGCGACUUACUGGACUGUAACUGACGCUGAUGCACGAAAGCGUGGGUAGCGAACAGGAUUAGAUACCCUGGUAG
Molecule: ribosomal RNA, 449 nt
Filed under: uncultured bacterium
Lineage: Bacteria
Description: bacterial SSU rRNA
Rfam family: Bacterial small subunit ribosomal RNA
Source: RNAcentral